GACGAACGCUGGCGGCGUGCUUAACACAUGCAAGUCGAACGGGCCCGCUCUCUUUUUUGGGGGUGGGUUGAGUGGCGAACGGGUGAGUAUCACGUGAGUAACCUGCCCCCUGCUCCUGGAUAACUGCUUGAAAGGGCGGCUAAUACGGGGUGUGCCGGCUGGUCCGCAUGGGCCUGGUCGGGAUAGUUUCAUCUUCGGGUGUUUCGGUGGGGGAUGGGCUCGCGGCCUAUCAGCUUGUUGGUGGGGUGAUGGCCCACCAAGGCGAUGACGGGUAGCCGGCCUGAGAGGGUGGGCGGCCACACUGGGACUGAGACACGGCCCAGACUCCUGCGGGAGGCAGCAGUGGGGGGUAUUGCACAAUGGGCGGAAGCCUGAUGCAGCGACGUCGCGUGAGGGAUGGAGGCCUUCGGGUUGUGAACCUCUUUCUCCGGUGGUGAAGGCCCUGUCCGUUGCGGCGGGGUUGACGGUAGCCGGGUAUGAAGCGCCGGCUAACUACGUG
RNAcentral lists this ribosomal RNA (499 nucleotides) under uncultured bacterium. Its description in RNAcentral is "partial 16S ribosomal RNA". It matches the Rfam family "Bacterial small subunit ribosomal RNA", at positions 28 to 507 of the family's 1533-position model. The record is from RNAcentral.